GGCGGACGGGUGAGUAAUGCUUGGGAACAUGCCUUGAGGUGGGGGACAACAGUUGGAAACGACUGCUAAUACCGCAUAACGUCUACGGACCAAAGGAGGGGAUCUUCGGACCUUUCGCCUUUAGAUUGGCCCAAGUGAGAUUAGCUAGAUGGUAGGGUAAUGGCCUACCAUGGCGACGAUCUCUAGCUGGUUUGAGAGGAUGAUCAGCCACACUGGGGCUGAGACACGGCCCAGACUCCUACGGGAGGCAGCAGUGGGGAAUAUUGCACAAUGGGGGAAACCCUGAUGCAGCCAUGCCGCGUGUGUGAAGAAGGCCUUCGGGUUGUAAAGCACUUUCAGUCGUGAGGAAAGGGUUGUAGUUAAUACCUGCAAUCUGUGACGUUAGCGACAGAAGAAGCACCGGCUAACUCCGUGCCAGCAGCCGCGGUAAUACGGAGGGUGCGAGCGUUAAUCGGAAUUACUGGGCGUAAAGCGUGC
This 477-nucleotide ribosomal RNA is filed under the name uncultured Colwelliaceae bacterium. RNAcentral's name for it is "bacterial SSU rRNA". It matches the Rfam family "Bacterial small subunit ribosomal RNA", at positions 97 to 570 of the family's 1533-position model. The record is from RNAcentral. Lineage: Bacteria; Pseudomonadati; Pseudomonadota; Gammaproteobacteria; Alteromonadales; Colwelliaceae.